This 253-nucleotide ribosomal RNA is filed under the name uncultured bacterium. Its description in RNAcentral is "partial 16S ribosomal RNA". It matches the Rfam family "Bacterial small subunit ribosomal RNA", at positions 524 to 776 of the family's 1533-position model. The record is from RNAcentral.
UACGAAGGGGGCUAGCGUUGUUCGGAAUUACUGGGCGUAAAGGGCGCGUAGGCGGUGUGUCAAGUCAGGCGUGAAAGCCCCGGGCUCAACCUGGGAACCGCGCUUGAGACUGGCACGCUAGAGUUCGGGAGAGGAUGGUGGAAUUCCCAGUGUAGAGGUGAAAUUCGUAGAUAUUCGGAAGAACACCAGUGGCGAAGGCGACUCACUGGACACAUAUUGACGCUGAGGUGCGAAAGCGUGGGGAGCAAACAGG